CCUUGAUGGACCGGCGCACGGGUGAGUAACGCGAUGCAACCUGCCCGAUACCGGGGUAUAGCCCAUGGAAACGUGGAUUAACACCCAUAGUACUUUUAUCCUGCCUGGGAUGGGAGUUAAAUGUUCAAGGUAUCGGAUGGGCAUGCGUCCUAUUAGUUAGUUGGCGGGGUAACAGCCCACCAAGACGAUGAUAGGUAGGGGUUCUGAGAGGAAGGUCCCCCACAUUGGAACUGAGACACGGUCCAA
This 246-nucleotide ribosomal RNA is filed under the name uncultured bacterium. RNAcentral's name for it is "partial 16S ribosomal RNA". It matches the Rfam family "Bacterial small subunit ribosomal RNA", at positions 85 to 334 of the family's 1533-position model. The record is from RNAcentral.